Molecule: ribosomal RNA, 497 nt
Filed under: uncultured bacterium
Lineage: Bacteria
Description: partial 16S ribosomal RNA
Rfam family: Bacterial small subunit ribosomal RNA
Source: RNAcentral
GAUGAACGCUGGCGGCGUGCCUAAUACAUGCAAGUCGAGCGAACAGAUGAGGAGCUUGCUCCUCUGACGUUAGCGGCGGACGGGUGAGUAACACGGGGAUAACCUACCUAUAAGACUGGGAUAACUUCGGGAAACCGUAGCUAAUACCGGAUAAUAUAUUGAACCGCAUGGUUCAAUAGUGAAAGACGGUUUUGCUUUCACUUAUAGAUUGAUCCGCGCCGCAUUAACUAGUUGGUAAGGUAACGGCUUACCAAGGCAACGAUGCGUAGCCGACCUGAGAGGGUGAUCGGCCACACUGGAACUGAGACACGGUCCAGACUCCUACGGGAGGCAGCAGUAGGGAAUCUUCCGCAAUGGGCGAAAGCCUGACGGAGCAACGCCGCGUGAGUGAUGAAGGUCUUCGGAUCGUAAAACUCUGUUAUUAGGGAAGAACAAAUGUGUAAGUAACUAUGCACGUCUUGACGGUACCUAAUCAGAAAGCCACGGCUAACUCCGUG